ACCCUGCACAUUGAUUUAUUAUCUUUGGGUGUAGAUUCAUUGUCUUAAGUACGUAAACAUGAGACCCAUAUGAACUUUGAGCAAGAACCCACUGGAGAAGAUGAUAAUGUUACUCCUCUGUUACAGCCUGGAGCAUCACAUUUCCACCCCCAUGUCAGUGGCAAGAGUGAAGCCCUUUAAACACCAGGCGGAGAGGAGCUGUUUUGGCUGGAUGCUCUGUGGUUCUGUCUAUGCUAGCGAGCAACGCAGACCAAUUGAGGCGGAUGUGUAGAGUGAAGCUGUCAGUGCUGACAUCCACACAUCAGGCAUUUCAGAGGGCUUGCUCAUGUGGUCCCACACACUGGAUACCUUUCAGCUUUUGGAGCACCUUAGAAGUGCAUCUUCUGGCUUCGUUCAUGCAGAAGAGAUCUGUUCAUGCACUUUGAGACCACUCUACAAUUUAAAACAAAGUACAAGACGUGUUUUACUACUCUUGAGCAGUCAUGCUGAUGAAAUGGAGAACAUGUCAUUUAACAAAUGGCAGUGGUGGACUCCGUGUUUAUCUGGACUUGCUAUGGGUAUAUAAAGCCACUUAGCCCCAAGCACGAGUGUCACACAGGAGGGAACAUCUCUGACAGGCCAGUGCUAAUGCAGGAGGGAACCUCUUGCAAAAAGACCAGGGCCCCUCUGAACUUCAAUGAAUUCUUUAUGGGAGGAAGAAAGGAAAGGACCAUGGCUUAAUUGCUGCCUGCAUCUCUCUGCCCAAAUCUAGCUUUGCUUAUACCUCCCCUUUUCGCACUGACCAAUCUGUGAAUAUUUAAUAGUGGAAUGUGUUAAUUGACAGUAACUGUGCCAUGGUAAGGUACUUUAUGCUGUACUUCAAUAAAAUUGAUGUGCUCAGUGGUGUCUCUGUGGCCUCUGCUACAUCUGGUCUUCUGCUGCUCUGCUGGAGAUGUGGAGCUGGGUCAAAUCUGAACACCUGCUUUUAAAAAUUAAUGUGCCUGUACAUCAUCCUGUGUUUCUAGAUCAGUAGGUACUGCUAAAGACUGAAAUAAUGCAAAAAUACUAUUCAAAAAUAUUUUUUCCAUUAAUACACCGACUACCAUUUUUCAAUGACUACUUUGAUUCAUUUCUCUCUUUUUCCUUCCACCUUUUCUUUGUUUUUUCUUACCAAUAUACAAAAAAUUGUUAAGAUCAUUACACCUCUAAUAAAUGUAAAGUGAGUUUAAUUUCUUGGCCAUGCACAGUUACGCAUUUUUGUGGCAUCAGAAUCAGCACACUACAGUUAACAUUGUCAUAAGCUAGAACGUGUUAAUACAGUUUUCAUUGCAGUGACUUACCUACAUUGAAUUGACACAAAAAAGGUGAGAGAACACAAUUUCCCGCUGCCACUUCAUGGAUGCUGAGGCUUAGAGAAUUUAAAAGCUGAGAUUCUUGAAAGCUGUCUAGAAUAUAUGGAUUGCCAAAUCCCAUUAGAUCUGGUUUUAAAGAACGAAGUUUCAAAAGCACUUGGGUGCCUUGAAAGGUUAGGGGCCAGAUUUUCAAAGAUAUUUGUUGUUACUUUGGUGAGUGAAAUCAGCUGGAUUUAGGUACUUAACACGUGUCUGGUUUCUGACAAUAAAGCUUUCAUUAAAACAUUUUAAAAAGCAUUUCCCUGUCAGUGCUUUCAGAAAUUAGCAAAUUUUCCAGACUGUACCCUCAUUUUCUGGGCGUUGUUGAUUAAACACUCACAACAUCAAAAUGCAACUCUGUACGGAGCCAUGCUGGAAAUAAAAUUCACAAAUAAAAUAGCAGUGAAACCGAAAUGAUUAUUUCAUUGGUGAGAAUAUUUUAAAAUGUACUUCAGUAUACAAAACAUCAUGAAUUUCAAAAUCCAAAAGGAGCUUGUUUUUACAGAAGCAUACAACAUCACUGAAAGUCAAGAUGGAAUUUUUCUCUACCAGCUCACUGCUUUCACUUUUGAAGGCUCAAGAAUUUAAGAGUAGACCAUGAGAUGACAACGUUCCUAAAUGUUACCAAUAUCUACUGUUCAUGCAUCCUCUAUGUGACAUUCACUCAUCCAUGCUGCCUGUACAUACAGAAAUAGCAAGGUAAGUAUAGUGGUUUUGAUCCAUAAAUACCUGUAGUCAAAUUAAACAUGGGACAUUAUCUUUACUCAUAAGAUGCUCAAACCUAAGUUAGCAAGCACUCCUCAUUUUUUACAAGCUGUCCAGAGUCUUUUCUUACAUCUGUUUUGCACCAGUUCGAUGAAUGUCUGCUACUGAUUCUUGAUCUGAGAUGUGUUCAGAAGCCGAUCCUGAAAAAUUCUGAUAUUCAGAAUCCUUCCUACUUUGGCUUGGUAUAUGGAUGGACACACCAGGUCAGAAAGAGAUUUGCAGUCAUAUUUUCAUACUGAUUAGUAUGUACGCUCCUCUGCCCUCCCCUAGAGGUGAACCUGCAGUGGCAUUAGCAGUCAUUGUCCAUCUUUGCAGAAAUUCAGAGUAAUGUUAACUGAUUCCGUAACAUCCCCUUAACUUUGCUAUAUUGGUGUUGUGAAGCUUUAAAGUUUUGAGUGCAGAAGAGACCUCCCAGGUUUUUAGCAGCUCUUAUUUUGUCAUUUGCAACAAAGACCUUUCUGGCAAGAGGAUCAGUGAACUCAAGAGGUGACUUGGUUUCCGUUUUUGUGACAAACACAGCAAAAACAGCUUUAACAUCCUGUUUAAAGCAGUCCUGAGGUGAGAGAGCCUUGAGAGAUGUUGAGCAGAAGCUGCUUUGUGGAGGAUCCUUUGCUAUCACGUGGCUUCACUGCAGGGUACAGGCUUUCAGCUGAUUUUGUCAUGGCCUCCAUUUCCUUGCUAAACAACAGGCCAGUGACCCGAAACACAGUCUAGGUGAUUCUCUGAAGGCAACCUGCCAAAGCGUUUUGCAAAAAAGGAACCUGACACAUAGCUAUCGUUUAAGGCCAAUUUAUCUCAAGAAUCAAUUCUUUAAAUUUAAUUCACCAGCUCACAUAUCCUUUUCAGUGAUGGUAGUUAACUCGUGUGUGUCCUGAUUUUGUGGGCUUUUCAGAGAACCUUGAUUUUCAGCACAUGCUGACACAUCCAUCGGUAAAAGGAAACUAACGGCCUUUACUUUACCCCUGGAGGAAAAUGAGAGAGGAUUAUGAGGAUUCGAAAUAUAUAAAACAAGCAAAGAAACUCAAAAAAAGAAUCAAAAACAACAACAAAAAACAGCUAACAAAAAAAAAAAACAAACAACAACACACCAGCA
Molecule: long non-coding RNA, 3228 nt
Filed under: Anas zonorhyncha (Eastern spot-billed duck)
Lineage: Eukaryota; Metazoa; Chordata; Aves; Anseriformes; Anatidae
Description: lncRNA (ENSAZOG00000018222.1)
Source: RNAcentral